GAUGAAGAACGCAGCGAAAUGCGAUAAGUAAUGUGAAUUGCAGAAUUCAGUGAAUCAUCGAAUCUUUGAACGCACAUUGCGCCCGCCAGUAUUCUGGCGGGCAUGCCUGUUCGAGCGUCAUUUCAACCAUCAAGCCCCCGGCUUGUGUUGGGGACCUGCGGCUGCCGCAGGCCCUGAAAAGCAGUGGCGGGCUCGCUGUCACACCGAGCGUAGUAGCAUACAUCUCGCUCUGGGCGUGCUGCGGGUUCCGGCCGUUAAACCACCUUCAGAACCCAAGGUUGACCUCGGAUCAGGUAGGAAGACCCGCUGAACUUAAGCAUAGCAAUAAGCGGAGGA
Molecule: unclassified non-coding RNA, 336 nt
Filed under: soil metagenome
Description: partial contains 5.8S ribosomal RNA, internal transcribed spacer 2, and large subunit ribosomal RNA
Rfam family: 5.8S ribosomal RNA (bases 1-120)
Source: RNAcentral